GAGCUCUUGCCAUUGCUCCAUCCACGAGACACAUGCUUCUGUAGAAGUAAAUUUGACUUUCUGAGAAAAUUUAUGUUCGACUGCUAUUUCUUUUGCAGCACAAAUAGUAUGUUUCUAACAAUUUGGUGGCCUGUACAAGGACCCCAUUCUCCUCCCAGAGGGUUUUCCAUCCUCUCCUGUGAGGACACAUGCCCCACUGCCUCAUUGCAGUAGCCUCAGGGGUAAGGAAUGGAGACCCCCCUAGUGUGAUGAAUAAACCCGGACUCUCAGCAACAUGGGAAGAAAAGACCUACAAAUACCGUGGUGACCAGAUAACUCUGUCCACAGACCAAGAACUAAAGGCCUUUUAGCACAGGCACCACCCCUGGAUUUCCCAGCACACCUGCAUCAACCUGGAGAUCACGUUUUCAUUAAGAGCUAGAGGGAAGCAAAACUCGAACCGGCUUUGGGAAGGACCCUUCCUAGUGCUUCUAACCACCAAGACCACAGUUGAAACAGCAAAGAGGAUGGACCCAUCACACCCGGGUCAAAAAAGCACCACCCCCUCCAGAAUCAUGGACAGUUAUUCCAGGGCCAACUCCAAACAAGCUAAAGCUAAAACGGGUUUAAUCCUCUUAUGUUGCAACUCUUUCUUUUCCCCUUCUAUUACUAGUCCUCUCAUGAUUAAUGUAACUAAGUCAAGUUCACCCCAAACUAUUACUUUUAAUGCUUGCCUUUUGAUGCUCUGUGGAGAUUUACCAAGCCAGAGGUAACACUCCACUUCAGAAAAGUAUCUUUGUCCUUCCUAGCUCUCCUCAGACUAAAAAUCUGUUAACUAGGAUAAGUUAGUUUAAAAAUAGCUUGACAAAGAUUCCAGUAUAAACUGGAAUCUUGUCCUCCUAGGGCAGAGCUUCUCUGCCAAAGUUGGUCCAAUGCUCUAUAAAAUACUAAAGAACAAGGAUAGAUUGCUCUAACUAGUACUUGCAGUUUCUUAAAACCUUAUAUUUAUUUUACUAAAGCACUUACCCCUCCCAAUUGUCAGCUGAACCAUCAUAAUCCAGUACAGAUUACCAUCUCUGCUCCCCAGAGUUCUUCCCCUUCAUUAAGCUACGUCUAUAGUAUAAGAGCAGAAGUAUCAGGGAAGGACGCUUUAGGAUCCUUUAAAAUGCACUUCAUUGUUUCCCCACCUCCUGCACCCCCUUCUCCCUCUCCAAAGUUCUCUGCUAAUCAAAUCUUUUCUCAUUAUAUACCCAAUGAUAAAACCAAAGUACCUGUUACAGAGGUUAAAAAUUUAAAACAAACUAUAGCAAUUAAACAGGAUAUCAAGACACAAAUGCUUGGCUGGAAUGGAUUAAAUAUUCUGUUCACAUGCUAAACAAAAGCGACUGUUACUCUUGUGUGACAGGCAAGCCAGAGACCCAAAUUGUCCCCUUUCCACUUGGGUGGUCCUCUCAUGGACUGGGCAUAAGCUGUAUGGCAGCUGGGCAUAAACAGUAUGGUAGCUGUAUGCUAGCCCCCUUCCAAAACCCCACAGCCUGGGGCGAUGAGUCAUGCGAAACUCUUUCACUGCUGUUCCCUGAGGUCAAGAGCCCUAAGGGUCAGCCCCUGAGGGCCAUCUGGCCUCCAGUCCCUAAUAUUAACUUCACCUCGUGCCUUUCACUGCAGGGGGAAAAGUUAGCAUUCCUUGGAGACUUAACAGGGUGCAGUGAAACCAAGCCUUUUCAAGAGCUUACCAAUCAGUCUGCCUUGUUCAUCCCCAAGCAGAUGUGUAGUGGUAUUGCGAGGGACUAUUGCUGGGUACUCUGCCAAGCCAUUAGGGUGGCACUUAUGCUCUAGGCCUUUUCCAGGUGAAAAGGCCAUCCUUUUCCCCCUCUCAUUUCAUCAACCAAGAAAGAUAAUGGCAAAAGACCACAAAAACAAAAAAUGCCCUUCGUGUGUCCUUUAAUCCUCAUGUUUAUAUAAAUACUAUUGAAGUUCCACAAAGAGUACCAAAUAAAUUUAAGGCCCAUAACCAAAUAGCUGCAGGAUUUGAGUCUAUAUUGUUCUGAUAGUUGACUAUAAAUAAAAAUGUAAGUUAAAUGAAUUACAUCUAUUACAACCAGCAACAAUUUAAUUAUACCAAAGAUGCUAUUAAAAAAAUAGGUCAACAAUUAAGGCUCAUCAGUCAAAUGACUUAAGAAAAUAAAAUAGCAUUAAAUAUAAUACUAGCAAAAAAAAAGAGGUAGAAUUUGUGUCAUAAUUAAAACUAAAUGUUGUACUUUUAUCCCUAAUAGCACUGCCACCAAUGAAUCAUAACAAAAGUACUACAAGGCAUUACUACUUUGUCCAAUAAGCUAGCUAAAAUUUCUAAAAUAAAUAAUCCCUUCACUAAUUUAUUGAAAAAUGGUUUAGCAAGUUAAAAGGACUUACGUCCUAAAUCCUCACUUCCCUUGCUAUUAUACUAAAUGUGAUCAUUCUUGUUAAGUGUUGUAUUAUCCCUUGCAUCCAUAAGCUAAUUUAGAGGCUUAUAAAAACAGCUCUCAUUAAAACCUUCCCCAAUUCUCCCCUACCCUAUUCAGACAAACUUUUCCUUCUAGAUAAUAAUUUUUUAAAAAUUCGACAAAUUCAAGCCACGUUAAAUAAAUUUAAAGAAGGAAGUGUAUAAAUUCAAGAGGGGUCAAAUUGUUAAAAACAAGUAGUUCAAACAGUUCCUCUUCAAAGAGUUUCACUUUGUUACAAACAAGGUAUUCUUCUCCAUGAGGUCUUCACUUCCUUGUACUGUCUCUCCUGAAGUCUUAUUCCCUGGUCUAAAUAAUUCUUGCCUGCCAAUCUAUCAACCCCUCCUGCCCUGCUGUGCUCAGACAUGCCCGCCAGGAAACCACCCCCUCCCUGCUGUAACAGCUUUACCCGCAGAAACUGUUCUUCCCUGCGCUCUUCUAAUUAGCUAAUUACAUUUAGCUUAGACUGUGCGGCCGACCCCAACCAAUAGGGGAAUGAAACAGCAACUAAGGCCAACAGGGUUAGGGAUUAAAAACCCUCUCCAUUAAAAAUGCUCUCCAUUGUGUGAUGUGCUCUCGCCAUUGCUCCACCCACAAGAUACACUCUUCUAUACAAGUAAAUUUGCCUAGCUGAGAAAACUUAUAUUCAAAUGCUAUUUCUUUUGUGGCACUAAAAAUUUGUUCCAACAAUAGAUUUCUGUGGUUUUAACCUCACUUAUUUAAAAUUAAAUGGAUUUGUAAGCCA
RNAcentral lists this long non-coding RNA (3201 nucleotides) under Homo sapiens (human). RNAcentral describes it as "uncharacterized LOC105372270 (LOC105372270)". Lineage: Eukaryota; Metazoa; Chordata; Mammalia; Primates; Hominidae. The record is from RNAcentral.